RNAcentral lists this transfer RNA (71 nucleotides) under Nocardioidaceae bacterium. RNAcentral describes it as "tRNA-Met". Lineage: Bacteria; Bacillati; Actinomycetota; Actinomycetes; Propionibacteriales; Nocardioidaceae. The record is from RNAcentral.
UGCGGGUGUCGGGUGACGCCAUGGGUCUCAUAAGCCCGUCGGUCCACGUUCGACUCGUGGCCCCGCAACCA